GUAGGUGAACCUGCGGAAGGAUCAUUAAUGAAUAUAAAUCGUACUGUUCACGCAGUAUGUGGGGUGGUGACUUCGGUCCCGCUCAUUCAUAUCCAUAACACCUGUGCACUGUUGGAUGCUUGCAUCCACUUUUAAACUAAACAUUAUUGUAACAAAUGUAGUCUUAUUAUAACAUAAUAAAACUUUCAACAACGGAUCUCUUGGCUCUC
This 209-nucleotide unclassified non-coding RNA is filed under the name rhizosphere metagenome. Its description in RNAcentral is "partial ribosomal RNA internal transcribed spacer region". The record is from RNAcentral.